Molecule: long non-coding RNA, 2936 nt
Filed under: Olea europaea subsp. europaea
Lineage: Eukaryota; Viridiplantae; Streptophyta; Magnoliopsida; Lamiales; Oleaceae
Source: RNAcentral
GGAAAGAUUUGUAAACUACCUUUCAAGCAAACAAAUAAAAUAUCUGAGUAUGCUCUUGAAAAGAUACAUUAUGAUGUUUAGGGACCAGCUUCCUUGGAGUCCAAGCAAUAUUUUUUAUUUUAUGCUAUAUUUGUUGACUAUUCCUCAAGAUACAUGUGGAUUUAUAAUUUGUUGAAAAUCACUUUGAUCGGAAAAUUAAAAUUUUCCAAUGUGAUGGAGGAGGUGAAUUUAGCUCUAAUGAUUUUCUGGAUCAUAUUGCUAACAAUGGAAUUGAGCCACAUGUUUUAUGUCCAGGAACUCGAGGACAAAAUGGAGUCACAGAACGGGAGCAUCACCAUAUCGUCAAAACAGGGAUAACGAUGCUCUUCCAUGCAGGUAUGCCUUUAUUAUAUUAGUUUGAAUCAUUUUUUACUGCUUUCUAUUUAAUCAAUCGUUUGACAUCGUCAGUGUUACAGAAUCAAAGCCCUUAUCUUAGAAUUUACAAGAGUCAUCCUGAUUACAAUAGCUUAACAGCUUGCCAUUAUUUAGAUGUCAAUAUUUUCCAAAUUUCCAAUAUCAAGGUAGUUCAAAGUUCAUAAAGAAAACAUAUCCGUGUGUCUUUCUUGGGUACAGUCCAAUUCAUAAGGGCUAUCGAUGUUUAGAGCCAACAACAAAGCGAGUUUACAUUUCACGACAUGUCUUUUUCAAUGAGGAACAUUUUCCUUUUCAGCAUUCGAUGGUUACUCCUAAUUCUCAUCUUUUGGAAUUGUCAGAAUUCUCAUCCUUAGAUGAGUGGAUUGAAAGAAGACAAGGGCAAAACUGAAGCAAACCAAGGAGGUGACGAUUUAAUCAAUUCCAGUAAGGAAAUGCCAUUAUCUUUUGUAUUUGACACCACUGAUAAUAUAGAUAUAGGUUCAUAACCGGAUCUGCAUAGAGGCAUAUAAGGCUCAUGCCUCAGGCCCACAAAUUAAAGGGGGCCUCAGAAUCUUAAUUUAUUUAAAUAGAAAGACAGAUUUAUGGCCUUGGAUUUGGUAUCGUCUCACUCCAACAAAUCAAAAUCAAAAUUAUUGAAAAACCCAAACGAAGUUACAAAACGUGAUCUUCUCACUUCUCUUAUCUCCAAGAGCUGUCUAUUGAUUGCCCACGCAGCUGCUGCAUUAUGUAAUCUGAUUUGUGUCGCCCUUGCUCGGUGCUAUGGUUUCUAAUUUUCUGUGAAAAGGAUUUAUGGGGUUCUAUUUUGGGUGUAUGGUUGUUUGUUUAUGAAUUGGGUGUGUCAUGUAUGCUUGUUAAUGAUCUGGUGAUAAAAACAUUAUCAUGUAUGGAUCUAAUGUCUGGUGAAAUGGGUCAAGAUUGGGUGGGUUCAAGCUCUGUGUAUGUCAUGUAUGCUUGUUUUGGCACUUUUUAUUUAUUCUCAUAUUUUAUUAUGUAAAGCAAGCAAAUUUUCCCAAGCCACGUUUUGAUGUCAAUGUUGUGUUUAUGUGCUAAUAACUUUUUGUUGCAUUUAAGAUGGGCAGAUCUUAUCUAUGGUUUGGUUUCUUUUUGAGAAAUAGUUAACUAGAAUUUUUGAUUUCGUAUGAUUUCUAAAGAAAAUGCAAUUUGCAAUAGGAUUAUGAAUUAUGAUGAAUAGAUUAAUGCAACAAAAUUGGUAUUUGAUCUUAAAUUUUUAUUUCAAGCUCACAAGUUAUGACGACGGAACGGAAUUCUCAAGGGUGCGAUUUCAUAAUUUUCGUAGAAAUUCUACUUCUUAGGGAAGCAAUGACUAGACCUAACUUGUUAUUGAAUAUAUUGGAAAUGUUUUGAAGCCUUGUCAGCUUAUAUAAUUGUGGCCUGAUCAGCUUAUGCGAUUGCUUAUUGUAGUAUCAAUUACACAAACGCACAUAGUACCUAUAUUAAAAACUUUAAUUGUAUGAUCGAGAUAUUUUGUAAUUGUUUUUUAGGUUAAAGAUUAGGCAUUAGAUAUAGACUUAUACAUCGUGCCUCCUAAAUAUGAGUUUGGAGUUCUCGAUUAGCAAUAUGUUGCAUAAUACACAACUAAAUUUUACAUUUAUGUUGAUUCUGGGGGCCUAAUUUUUUAAGUUCGCCUCAGGCCCCGAAAAUCACAGGACCGGCCUUGUAUAGGUUCUUCCCCUAAUUUUAGCAGGCACGUAGAAAUAAUGACGAGCAAAUCAAUGAGAAUGUUGGCCACUGCAUUACUUUGGAUGAGAUUCACGAGACAUCUAGUUCAACAGAUGAAAGCAUAACGGAUGCAAGACCAAAUCAUGCAAACACAAAUCGUGAUGAAGUUCUCUCAUCAAUACAAGAUGUUCAAGAAAUCUCUUCGCUAAACAAUUCAGAUUUGAGGUCUUCUCAUCCUACAGAGAUUGACAUCCACCAACCUACCUUAAUGACUAUGUUGCACUUGCCUCUAUCUUAAUUGAGCCAAAAAUGUUGAAGUCAGCCAUCAAAAUUCUAGUUGGACUGAAGCGACUCAAGAGGAGAUUAAAGCCCUUCAUGACAAUCAUGCCUGAGUUUUGGUCCCAAGACCAUCUGAUAUUCAUGUUGUGGGCACAAAAUGGGUUUUUUGAAUCAAGUACAAAGAGAAUAGAUCAGUUGAUUGCUUUAAAGCUCAAUCAGUGGCCAAGGACUUUACUCAAGACUCGAGGAUUGAUUAUGAUAAAACAUUUAGCCUGGUAGUUAAACCAACUACUAUUCAGCUUGUCAUCGCCCUAUCUAUUUCUUAUAAUUGGAGUAUGAGCUAGAUUGAUGUCAAGAAUGCAUUCUUGCAAGAUCUUCCUAAAGAAACCAUCUGUAUGGAGCAACCACUGAGAUUCAUUGACAAUUUACAACAUAAUCAUGUUUGUUUGCUCUAUAAAAAAAAAAAAAAAAAACUUUAUAUGGAUUAAAACAAGCUCCACGAGCUUGGUUCGAUUGCUUGUCAUAGUUUUUUCUUCAUUUUUGAUUUUCAUGUAGUAAGCCAG